UUGAGUUGGCUGAGGUGGCACUGGGGUGAGGGAUGGCUGAGGUCCCUGCUGGCCUCUUUCGAUCCUUCCCUGAAAGGGGGAGGGGUUCCUAACCAGAGGCUGAGCUUGAGAUCAGCCUCCUGCCACAGCCGGAGGGCAUUCGGAGUGUCCAGCAGGGAUCCGAAGAGGAAGCCGGCUCUCAGAUUUAUCACUGGAUACCUGGAAGCGUGUGCUGUUGGUCUUUGUGUGACUGACUCCUAGUGGACCCCUGGACCUGGACCUAGUGGACUAGACCCAGCAAGGAAAGGGACAUCAGCUGAAGCAGGAGGCCACCAGAACAGAGAAUGCAGCCACAAGAAGAGAGUCUGUCAGUCCUCAAGAUGAGGGGGCGUGCCUACUGUGGGGGCCCCCAGGGAGGUCAGAGCACAGAGGGAGAGGGGAAGCCAGGGCUGACCAUUGCGUAUCGGGAAGGUCGGGAGCCGCGAUUCAUACAGAGACGGCAGAAGAAAGGAGACUCUGGGGUCCCUGGAGGCAGCACCUCCCUUCCAGGGUGUUAGGAUUCUAGCUCAGGCUCCAACCCAGGUCUCAUCCCAUCUGCAGGUGAACAAAUACUAUCUAAAUGCCAUAAAUUAUAGUUUUUUUUUUAAGUCUCUGUGUAGAGAAAACCGAAAUGAACAAAUGAAGACAGAGGUGAAAUUAAAAGAUAAUUGGAAGUCUA
Long non-coding RNA from Peromyscus californicus insignis, 697 nucleotides. RefSeq lists it as uncharacterized. The record is from RefSeq and is a predicted model, not a curated record. NCBI's taxonomy places the organism in Eukaryota, Metazoa, Chordata, Mammalia, Rodentia, Cricetidae. The transcript has 3 exons.